RNAcentral lists this transfer RNA (55 nucleotides) under Culex quinquefasciatus (southern house mosquito). It matches the Rfam family "tRNA", at positions 9 to 63 of the family's 71-position model. Rfam says of the family: Transfer RNA (tRNA) molecules are approximately 80 nucleotides in length. Their secondary structure includes four short double-helical elements and three loops (D, anti-codon, and T loops). Further hydrogen bonds mediate the characteristic L-shaped molecular structure. tRNAs have two regions of fundamental functional importance: the anti-codon, which is responsible for specific mRNA codon recognition, and the 3' end, to which the tRNAs corresponding amino acid is attached (by aminoacyl-tRNA synthetases). tRNAs cope with the degeneracy of the genetic code in two manners: having more than one tRNA (with a specific anti-codon) for a particular amino acid; and 'wobble' base-pairing, i.e. permitting non-standard base-pairing at the 3rd anti-codon position. The record is from Rfam by way of RNAcentral. Lineage: Eukaryota; Metazoa; Arthropoda; Insecta; Diptera; Culicidae.
AGCCUAGUGGUAACGCUUCCGCCUUGUAAGCGGUAGAUCGGGGUUCAAAUCCCGG